Long non-coding RNA from Dromaius novaehollandiae (emu), 2695 nucleotides. RefSeq lists it as uncharacterized. The record is from RefSeq and is a predicted model, not a curated record. The transcript is spliced from 8 exons. Lineage: Eukaryota; Metazoa; Chordata; Aves; Casuariiformes; Dromaiidae.
AAAAAACCUAAAAGGCUCGGGAAGAGCCAAAGAGAACACCGAUGGGCUCUGGGAAGCCCCAGUGAUGCUAGCGAAAACAGCGUGGCUUUUAGGCACCUCCUCAGAGCAGCAGCAAUGUCUCGCUCCAGCCUAUGGGACAAUGGGGACUCUUAAUUACCGCCUUGAAUUACCACAAGUGUUGCAAAAGCAGAAGGGACUAGGGAGCAUGCAGAGCAGGUUAUGGACUAUAUGUCAAGUUUAAACAAGCAACAAGCCCCUCUGCAAACAGAAACAGGUUUAGCCCUAAGUAAUAGACGGAGGUAGCUGUGAGCAACGUGAAGCGAAGCGGUGACGUCAGUCACCCCGAAAGCCUCGGAGAAGCGGUCUGAAAAUCUGGUACCCUUGCGGCCUCGGCAGUCUUUUUGGUCUGUUUGGCAGGGUAGCCCACCGAAGGGGGACAUCUCGAAGAGAAGCAGCAAGACCUGGGGAUCCGGUGGUUCAUUUUGGUCGUCGCCUGUGAGGCCAGCAUGCAAGAGUAAGAGGAAGCUAGGAGCAGUCUCAAAAAGAGAUGGAACCAAGGACAGCAAAUGCUGACGAAGAGAAGAGACGGACGAGCGUUUGCUUGCGGUUAAUACCGAAGGGACGGGAUGAAACAAGGAAGCCAGAAUGCAGCGGCCCCUCGAUAUCACCAGGAACUGCUACAGGAGGAGGCGUUCUGGCACGGGUAACUAGGAUUAAUUGCCACGGCUGAAGUUGAAGAGACCAAGAAACGUAAGCCGCGAAGGGGCACAUCUUGAAGAGAGGGGGCUAGACCUAGCGAUCCAGUUGUUUGUUUUGGUCGUCGCCUGUGAGGCCAGCAUGCAAGAGUAAGAGGAAGCUAGGAGCAGUCUCAAAAAGAGAUGGAACCAAGGACAGCAAAUGCUGACGAAGAGAAGAGACGGACGAGCGUUUGCUUGCGGUUAAUACCGAAGGGACGGGAUGAAACAAGGAAGCCAGAAUGCAGCGGCCCCUCGAUAUCACCAGGAACUGCUACAGGAGGAGGCGUUCUGGCACGGGUAACUAGGAUUAAUUGCCACGGCUGAAGUUGAAGAGACCAAGAAACGUAAGCCGCGAAGGGGCACAUCUUGAAGAGAGGGGGCUAGACCUAGCGAUCCAGUUGUUUGUUUUGGUCGUCGCCUGUGAGGCCAGCAUGCAAGAGUAAGAGGAAGCUAGGAGCAGUCUCAAAAAGAGAUGGAACCAAGGACAGCAAAUGCUGACGAGGAGAAGAGACGGACGAGCGUUUGCUUGUGGUUAAUACCGAAGGGACGGGAUGAAACAAGGAAGCCAGAAUGCAGCGGCCCCUCGAUAUCACCAGGAACUGCUGCAGGAGGAGGCGUUCUGGCACGGGUAACUAGGAUUAAUUGCCACGGCUGAAGUUGAAGAGACCAAGAAACGUAAGCCGCGAAGGGGCACAUCUUGAAGAGAGGGGGCUAGACCUAGCGAUCCAGUUGUUUGUUUUGGUCGUCGCCUGUGAGGCCAGCAUGCAAGAGUAAGAGGAAGCUAGGAGCAGUCUCAAAAAGAGAUGGAACCAAGGACAGCAAAUGCUGACGAGGAGAAGAGACGGACGAGCGUUUGCUUGUGGUUAAUACCGAAGGGACGGGAUGAAACAAGGAAGCCAGAAUGCAGCGGCCCCUCGAUAUCACCAGGAACUGCUGCAGGAGGAGGCGUUCUGGCACGGGUAACUAGGGUAAGUAUCGCUAAUGACCGUUAGCAGUUAUUUCGGCCUCCCCGAGGCAGCGCUGAGGACUGAGUAACCUGAGGGGCUCUGGCCUGGGUUAGGGCAGAAGUGCAGGCAGGUGGGAUCAGGCAUUUUCCUCUCAGCUCUCCAAGCUGAAUCCUAGCCCUGAAGGAAAAAGCACCGACGGACGGACGGACGGACAGACGCUGGUGCGGCGGUGACUCUUUGGAUAUCGUAGGUAAGGGGAGGCACGCUGGUGCCGAGCUCCAGGGCGGUUUGCCUGAACACGAUGCCCGGGGCAGGAGGUUACGCAUUGUGUCCGGGGCUGGGAGCUGGUCCCCGAGUCCCAUGUACUUGGGAGUGCCUGCGCUUGCCAGGGAGCCCGGUGCUGUUCCCAGAGCUGCGGGGAAUUUCCCUUGCGUUGCCUGGACCCUCGGGGCUCUUGGGGGUGUUUCCCCUCAUCGCAAGGGCAGCCAGAGCCCCUCCAGGGCUGCGUGAGGUCCCCGAACCGCUCCCGGAUUUGCUUUUGGCACUCCGCAGUGUCGCUCGUGUGCCUGGGGCAGCCUGCAGGCGCCAUCCUGUCAGCCGCGUUGAGCCCUGCGGCGUGCCUGGUGACCCCUCUGGUGUGCGCCAAGGCCCUUCCUCUGUAUUUUGGUCUGCCCCAGAGCCCUGCACUUGCCCUCUGAUGCCCUCAGGACCCCUCAGUUCACAUUCUGGGUUGCCCCCGAGCCCUCUGCGUGCCUUUCGGUGCGCCCUGUGGCCCCGUGUGUGUUUUGCGGCACGCCGCAGAGGUCUCUGUGUAGCUUUUUCUCCUGUCCUGGAGUUUUCUGGGUGCUUCUGGGUGUGCCCCAGGGCCCUCCUUUUGGUGCCCCCAGAGUCACUCUGUUUGCUCUAUCGUUCUUUUUUUUUUUUUUUUUUCUUGACUUGUGUUGCACCCAGAGCUCUCGAUUUGUUCUCUUGUGCUCCGCAUACUCCCCUUUCCGCACUCUACACCCCAGG